RNAcentral lists this ribosomal RNA (481 nucleotides) under uncultured bacterium. Its description in RNAcentral is "partial 16S ribosomal RNA". It matches the Rfam family "Bacterial small subunit ribosomal RNA", at positions 28 to 507 of the family's 1533-position model. The record is from RNAcentral.
GAUGAACGCUGGCGGCGUGCUUAACACAUGCAAGUCGAACGAAGCAUUUAGAACAGAUUACUUCGGUUUGAAGUUCUUUAUGACUGAGUGGCGGACGGGUGAGUAACGCGUGGGUAACCUGCCUUGUACUGGGGGAUAGCAGCUGGAAACGGCUGGUAAUACCGCAUAAGCGCACAAUGUUGCAUGACAUGGUGUGAAAAACUCCGGUGGUAUAAGAUGGACCCGCGUCUGAUUAGCUAGUUGGUGAGAUAACAGCCCACCAAGGCGACGAUCAGUAGCCGACAUGAGAGGGUGACCGGCCACAUUGGGACUGAGACACGGCCCAGACUCCUACGGGAGGCAGCAGUGGGGAAUAUUGCACAAUGGAGGAAACUCUGAUGCAGCGACGCCGCGUGAGUGAAGAAGUAAUUCGUUAUGUAAAGCUCUAUCAGCAGGGAAGAUAGUGACGGUACCUGACGAAGAAGCUCCGGCUAAAUACGUG